Non-coding RNA from Nicotiana sylvestris (wood tobacco), 96 nucleotides. The record is from Rfam. Lineage: Eukaryota; Viridiplantae; Streptophyta; Magnoliopsida; Solanales; Solanaceae.
UGGACAGAUUAUUGUAUUCGACUGUAUUCACGGCGUAAAACAGGAGAUUACACUGUUUUUAAACGGAAAGUGAAUCAAUUAACAUAAUAGACUCCU